UACGUAGGGUGCGAGCGUUAAUCGGAAUUACUGGGCGUAAAGUGUGCGCAGGCGGUCGAUCAAGUCGAGUGUGAAAGCCCCCGGCUCAACUGGGGAGGGUCAUUCGAUACUGAUCGACUCGAAGGCAGGAGAGGGUAGUGGAAUUCCCGGUGUAGUGGUGAAAUGCGUAGAUAUCGGGAGGAACACCAGUGGCGAAGGCGACUACCUGGCCUGUUCUUGACGCUGAGGCGCGAAAGCUAGGGGAGCAAACGGG
This 253-nucleotide ribosomal RNA is filed under the name uncultured bacterium. RNAcentral's name for it is "partial 16S ribosomal RNA". It matches the Rfam family "Bacterial small subunit ribosomal RNA", at positions 524 to 776 of the family's 1533-position model. The record is from RNAcentral.